GAUGAACGCUGACAGAAUGCUUAACACAUGCAAGUCUACUUGAAUUUGGGUUUUUUAACUUCGAUUUGGGUGGCGGACGGGUGAGUAACGCGUAAAGAACUUGCCUCACAGCUAGGGACAACAUUUGGAAACGAAUGCUAAUACCUGAUAUUAUGAUUAUAAGGCAUCUUAGAAUUAUGAAAGCUAUAUGCGCUGUGAGAGAGCUUUGCGUCCCAUUAGCUAGUUGGAGAGGUAACGGCUCACCAAGGCGAUGAUGGGUAGCCGGCCUGAGAGGGUGAACGGCCACAAGGGGACUGAGACACGGCCCUUACUCCUACGGGAGGCAGCAGUGGGGAAUAUUGGACAAUGGACCAAGAGUCUGAUCCAGCAAUUCUGUGUGCACGAUGACGUUUUUCGGAAUGUAAAGUGAUUUCAGUUGGGAAGAAAAAAAUGACGGUACCAACAGAAGAAGUGACGGCUAAAUACGUG
RNAcentral lists this ribosomal RNA (468 nucleotides) under uncultured bacterium. RNAcentral's name for it is "partial 16S ribosomal RNA". It matches the Rfam family "Bacterial small subunit ribosomal RNA", at positions 28 to 507 of the family's 1533-position model. The record is from RNAcentral.